AUGCCCGGAGACAUACCACUUGUUGCCUCGGCGGAUCAGCCCGCUCCCGGUAAAACGGGACGGCCCGCCAGAGGACCCCUAAACUCUGUUUCUAUAUGUAACUUCUGAGUAAAACCAUAAAUAAAUCAAAACUUUCAACAACGGAUCUCUUGGUUCUGGCAUCGAUGAAGAACGCAGCAAAAUGCGAUAAGUAAUGUGAAUUGCAGAAUUCAGUGAAUCAUCGAAUCUUUGAACGCACAUUGCGCCCGCCAGUAUUCUGGCGGGCAUGCCUGUUCGAGCGUCAUUUCAACCCUCAAGCACAGCUUGGUGUUGGGACUCGCGUUAAUUCGCGUUCCCCAAAUUGAUUGGCGGUCACGUCGAGCUUCCAUAGCGUAGUAGUAAAACCCUCGUUACUGGUAAUCGUCGCGGCCACGCCGUUAAACCCCAACUUCUGAAUGUUGACCUCGGAUCAGGUAGGAAUACCCGCUGAACUUAAGCAUAUCAAA
RNAcentral lists this ribosomal RNA (485 nucleotides) under Fusarium oxysporum f. sp. lycopersici. RNAcentral describes it as "eukaryotic LSU rRNA". The stretch from base 130 to 283 matches the Rfam family "5.8S ribosomal RNA". The record is from RNAcentral. Lineage: Eukaryota; Fungi; Ascomycota; Sordariomycetes; Hypocreales; Nectriaceae.